Molecule: ribosomal RNA, 447 nt
Filed under: uncultured bacterium
Lineage: Bacteria
Description: partial 16S ribosomal RNA
Rfam family: Bacterial small subunit ribosomal RNA
Source: RNAcentral
AACGAACGCUGGCGGCAGGCCUAAAACAUGCAAGUCGAACGAACCUUCGGGUUAGUGGCGCACGGGUGAGUAACACGUGGGAAUGUGCCUCUGGGUGCGGAACAACGUCGGGAAACUGACGCUAAUACCGCAUAAUGUCUACGGACCAAAGAUUUAUUGCCCAGAGAUCAGCCCGCGUCUGAUUAGCUAGUUGGUGAGGUAAUGGCUCACCAAGGCGACGAUCAGUAGCUGGUCUGAGAGGAUGAUCAGCCACACUGGAACUGAGACACGGUCCAGACUCCUACGGGAGGCAGCAGUUAGGAAUAUUGGACAAUGGGGGCAACCCUGAUCCAGCCAUGCCGCGUGUGUGAAGAAGGCCUUAGGGUUGUAAAGCACUUUCGGCUGUGAAGAUAAUGACAGUAGCAGAAGAAGAAGCUCCGGCCAAAUUCGUGCCAGCAGCCGCCGUAA